GCCGGCAUGGCGGAACUGGCAGACGCCUGGGACUUAAAAUCCCAUGGGUAGUAAUACCCGUACCGGUUCGAUUCCGGUUGCCGGCA
Molecule: transfer RNA, 86 nt
Filed under: Butyrivibrio fibrisolvens
Lineage: Bacteria; Bacillati; Bacillota; Clostridia; Lachnospirales; Lachnospiraceae
Also listed under: 1 other name
Rfam family: tRNA
About the family: Transfer RNA (tRNA) molecules are approximately 80 nucleotides in length. Their secondary structure includes four short double-helical elements and three loops (D, anti-codon, and T loops).
Source: Rfam by way of RNAcentral